AAUCAACGCUGGCGGCGUGCCUAACACAUGCAAGUCGAACGCGAAAAGGGCUUCGGCUCUUAGUAGAGUGGCGAACGGGUGAGUAACACGUGGGUGACCUACCUUCGAAUGGGGGAUAACGUCCCGAAAGGGACGCUAAUACCGCAUAACAUCCUGCCUUUGAACAGGUGGAGAUCAAAGCCGGGGAUCGCAAGACCUGGCGUUUGAAGAGGGGCCCGCGUCUGAUUAGCUAGUUGGUGAGGAACGGCCCACCAAGGCGACGAUCAGUAUCCGGCCUGAGAGGGCGGACGGACACACUGGGACUGAGACACGGCCCAGACUCCUACGGGAGGCAGCAGUGGGGAAUUGUUCGCAAUGGGCGCAAGCCUGACGACGCAACGCCGCGUGGAGGAUGAAGGUCUUCGGAUUGUAAACUCCUGUUGCUCGGGACGAAAAGCUUCGACCUAACACGUCGAAGUCUGACGGUACCGGGUGA
This 475-nucleotide ribosomal RNA is filed under the name uncultured bacterium. Its description in RNAcentral is "bacterial SSU rRNA". It matches the Rfam family "Bacterial small subunit ribosomal RNA", at positions 32 to 485 of the family's 1533-position model. The record is from RNAcentral.